This 482-nucleotide ribosomal RNA is filed under the name uncultured bacterium. RNAcentral describes it as "bacterial SSU rRNA". It matches the Rfam family "Bacterial small subunit ribosomal RNA", at positions 30 to 506 of the family's 1533-position model. The record is from RNAcentral.
UUGAACGCUGGCGGCAUGCUUAAUACAUGCAAGUCGAACGGUAACAGAUCCUUCGGGAUGCUGACGAGUGGCGAACGGGUGAGUAAUGUACAGGAAUCUGCCUAGAAGAGAGGGAUAACUUGAGGAAACUCAAGCUAAUACCUCGUACGCUCUAAGGAGGAAAGCAGGGGAUCUUUUGACCUUGCGCUUUUAGAUGAGCCUGUAUCGGAUUAGUUAGUUGGUUAGGUAAUGGCUGACCAAGACGAUGAUCCGUAGCUGGUCUGAGAGGAUGAUCAGCCACAUUGGGACUGAGACACGGCCCAGACUCCUACGGGAGGCAGCAGUAGGGAAUAUUGGACAAUGGGCGAAAGCCUGAUCCAGCAAUGCCGCGUGUGCGAAGAAGGCCUGUGGGUUGUAAAGCACUUUCAGUGGAGAAGAAUAGAUAAAUACUAAUAUUGUUUAUCUUUGACGUUAUUCAAAGAAGAAGCACCGGCUAACUCUGU